AGUGAACGCUGGCGGUAGGCCUAACACAUGCAAGUCGAACGGCAGCACAGUAAGAGCUUGCUCUUACGGGUGGCGAGUGGCGGACGGGUGAGGAAUACAUCGGAAUCUACUUUUUCGUGGGGGAUAACGUAGGGAAACUUACGCUAAUACCGCAUACGACCUACGGGUGAAAGCAGGGGAUCUUCGGACCUUGCGCGAUUGAAUGAGCCGAUGUCGGAUUAGCUAGUUGGCGGGGUAAAGGCCCACCAAGGCGACGAUCCGUAGCUGGUCUGAGAGGAUGAUCAGCCACACUGGAGCGGAGACACGGUCCAGACGCCUACGGGAGGCAGCAGUGGGGAAUAUUGGACAAUGGGCGCAAGCCUGAUCCAGCCAUACCGCGUGGGUGAAGAAGGCCUUCGGGUUGUAAAGCCCUUUUGUUGGGAAAGAAAAGCAGCAGGUUAAUACCCCGCUGUUCUGACGGUACCCAAAGAAUAAGCACCGGCUAACUUCGUG
RNAcentral lists this ribosomal RNA (492 nucleotides) under uncultured bacterium. RNAcentral describes it as "partial 16S ribosomal RNA". It matches the Rfam family "Bacterial small subunit ribosomal RNA", at positions 29 to 507 of the family's 1533-position model. The record is from RNAcentral.